AGUGAAUGCUAGGGGUAUGCUUAACACAUGCAAGUUGAACGGAACAUCUGUUUAGUAGCGUACGGGUGAGUAAUAUAGGAGAACCAAGCACUAAGUUCGGAACAAGAGAUAUGUCUGUAUAAAUGCCGGAUAUUGAAAGAUUUAUCGCUUAGUGUGGGGCUCCUAUGGGAUUAGGUUGUUGGUUGUGUAAUGGACAACCAAGCCAGGGAUCCCUAGUUGGUCUGAGAGGAUGAUCAGCCACACUGGGACUGAAACAAGGCCCAGACUUCCAUGGAGGGCGAGCAGUGAGGAGUAUUGGACAAU
This 303-nucleotide ribosomal RNA is filed under the name uncultured bacterium. Its description in RNAcentral is "bacterial SSU rRNA". It matches the Rfam family "Bacterial small subunit ribosomal RNA", at positions 29 to 372 of the family's 1533-position model. The record is from RNAcentral.